Molecule: ribosomal RNA, 291 nt
Filed under: uncultured bacterium
Lineage: Bacteria
Description: partial 16S ribosomal RNA
Rfam family: Bacterial small subunit ribosomal RNA
Source: RNAcentral
GUGCCAGCCGCCGCGGUAAUACGUAGGUGGCAAGCGUUGUCCGGAAUUAUUGGGCGUAAAGCGCGCGUAGGUGGGAUCAUAAGUCUUAUGUAAAAGUGCGGGGCUCAACCCCGUAAAGCGUGAGAAACUGUGAUUCUUGAGUGCAGGAGAGGAAAGCGGAAUUCCCAGUGUAGCGGUGAAAUGCGUAGAUAUUGGGAGGAACACCAGUGGCGAAGGCGGCUUUCUGGACUGUGUCUGACACUGAGGCGCGAAAGCUAGGGGAGCGAACGGGAUUAGAAACCCUCGUAGUCC